CCAAAAGAUUAACCUUUCCUUUCUCCUUUCUUUUUUGAAAACGUUUUUCUGAAAUGAGCUUUAACGGACCCUAGAUCUACAAAAAGGGUUACUACCUUUUUAUUGUUUUUUUUUCUUGAUCUGGAUCUGUGUUGGUUUGGUGGUGGUGUUUCACGGUUUUGAUGUUUGUGAAUGGGGUUUGAUUUGAGUAUGAUGGUUUGGAAUUAGGAUUGUGGAUACGUGAUUCUGAUGUUGUGUGCGUGAUUGAUGCUUAGUUGAUGCGUUUGGGUUUUUGUGAAGAUUUGAAUCGAAAGAGGUUGAAUGAAAAUUGUUUUGUUGGAAAGUUGAUUAGGGCUGGAAUUUUGUUAGUUGGUAGUGUGUGUUUGCUGGAAAAUUGUUCUCUGUAUUUUUAGUUUAUUGCUAUUUUUUGCUGUUGGGGCCCCUCCCUUUGUCUGUGUGCAGGUGGUUAUAUUUAUAGAGCUGAAUUUCUGUUGCUUGGAGAGGAACA
This 487-nucleotide long non-coding RNA is filed under the name Medicago truncatula (barrel medic). RNAcentral's name for it is "long non-coding RNA (MTRU_LNC004616)". Lineage: Eukaryota; Viridiplantae; Streptophyta; Magnoliopsida; Fabales; Fabaceae. The record is from RNAcentral.